Glycine soja is the source of this 783-nucleotide long non-coding RNA. RefSeq lists it as uncharacterized. The transcript is spliced from 3 exons. Lineage: Eukaryota; Viridiplantae; Streptophyta; Magnoliopsida; Fabales; Fabaceae. The record is from RefSeq and is a predicted model, not a curated record.
AUAAGUACAAAGCGAACUAUUCUUUCGCCUUUUACUAAAGAAUACCGUGUACUUGUCACUUAUAGCGGCAUACGCCAAUUUUUUCCAAAAGGGUCUUCUUACGAGGGCCCUGUUAUUUAGUUUAAGUUUCUGAAAUUCAACGGUUAAAUUGUCAAUAACGGGCUUAAUAUAAGUAUUGGGCACUUUUUUGAAUCAAACCUUGUCCAACUUUGGGUAAGGUUAUAGGAAAAGAGCAGCAGUCUCAUACAAAUUGGUCUCAUAGUAUUUUUUAUCUUAACGAAAUUGGUUUAGAUACAACUUAUUGGAUCGGAGCAUGUGUAUAUAGGGUGAAAACUAGUCUUCUGCAAAUCUACUCCACUUGCACAUGGACGACAGAGUAAGAGUUGAUUCCCUAUAUCAACUUUUGUUUCAACAUUUUGCAUCAGACAACAAUUCAAUACAACAUCAUAUGGUUCUUAGCUGUGGUGUUGCAUGACAUCUCGGUGGCCAUGGUUUUGGUAGGGUGAAAGGAGCAAAUCAUGUACUCAGUUUGUAGGGUUCUCUGUAUGCAAUGCUUCUAUGAAUGAAAAAUUGGUGUGACUUGAGAAGACAGAGUAGUGUGUUCAUUUUCAUUAGUUCAUCCCAUUUUCAAUCAAAUUGGCCCUUUUUACAUGACAGGCUAGCGUGUGGCUAGAUAGAUGUCAUCAGCCAUUUGAUGUGCCAUCUUUGUCUUUGGUGUUACAUGACAUUAUCUAAUUGAAGAACAUUGACAAUUUACGAAUCCAGAGACUAUUUUAUUAUUUA